This 440-nucleotide ribosomal RNA is filed under the name uncultured bacterium. RNAcentral describes it as "partial 16S ribosomal RNA". It matches the Rfam family "Bacterial small subunit ribosomal RNA", at positions 338 to 795 of the family's 1533-position model. The record is from RNAcentral.
CCUACGGGAGGCAGCAGUGGGGAAUAUUGCACAAUGGGGGAAACCCUGAUGCAGCGACGCCGCGUGAGUGAAGAAGUAUUUCGGUACGUAAAGCUCUAUCAGCAGGGAAGAAAAUGACGGUACCUGACUAAGAAGCCCCGGCUAACUACGUGCCAGCAGCCGCGGUAAUACGUAGGGGGCAAGCGUUAUCCGGAUUUACUGGUGGUAAAGGGAGCGUGGACGGCUGCGCAAGUCUGAAGUGAAAUCCCAGGGCUUAACCAUGGAACUGCUUUGGAAACUGUGCAGCUGGAGUGCAGGAGAGGGAAGCGGAAUUCCUGGGGUAGCGGUGAAAUGCGUAGAGAUCGGGAGGAACACCAGUGGCGAAGGCGGCCUACUGGGCUUUAACUGACGCUGAGGCACGAAAGCAUGGGUAGCAAACAGGAUUAGAUACCCCAGUAGUC